AAGUUUUCAACUUUUUAGGGUUUUAGCAGUAAUCAACCAGCAGCUGCAAAAAUGGGGAGCGGGAAGGCGAAGAAGCCAUCGAAGCUGUCUCACAGAAACAACAAGGGCAAUCCGCUUGGCCCUAAGACAAAGAAGAGGAAGAAGGAGAAGAAGCAACGGCUCAGCAAUGGCGGCAGCAAUGAAAACCCAAUUGACGAGAAAGCGAGCAAUCAAAGCAACCAAAACAGCGACGGUUUAAGAGACGGUGAGGUACAACCGGCGUCAGUGUCGGCGCAGCUCAGAUUCUUUCUGGACAAGUUUCAGUCUGCCAACGGCGUUAGCUUUCUUACCUCGAGUUGGAGUCCUUCAAUGAUAAGUGUUUUCUGGAUCAGUCUGAAAGCUUGGAUCAAGAUGUCAGCAUCUGGGGGAAACAUGUGAAGGAAGCUUUUGGUCCAUCAUGGAAACAAGAAGUUUGUGAAAAGGAUCUCGUGGAUGGAAAAAUUGAUCCAGGGAGUCCAGCAAUUCUUAUUAUUAGUACAUCUGCGUUGAGAGCAUUAGAACUUCUAAGGGGCUUCCGGUUGUUGACUAAUGAAUGUCGUGCAGCAAAGCUGUUCUCUAAGCAUAUGAAGGUUGAAGAACAGGUAGUUUCUCGGAAUCUUUAAAAUUCCCUAGUUAAUGGCGCAUUUAUUACUAUUUGUUACCCCACAGUUGUUUCUGCAUGUUCUACUAUUUGCUAGGCUUACUAGCAUCUGUUUGGUUACAGUUCAAUAUGUUGAGCGUACCCAUGUCGUAUAUGGUAUCAAGAAUUGUUACUUGACAUGGGAGUCUGGGAAAUCUAUUGCCCUUCCCCUUCAAUUUUUAGUGUCUGUGUUAGAUGGUCUACAAAUUUAAAACUUAAAAAAUAUAAUGAGAGAUGGGAUUGAAACCCGUGGACUGUGCGGCAUCCGAGUUAUAGUCACUGUAAACUUUCACCAGGUUCAUUGGGGGUCCUUUUGGUAGAAACCUGUAACAUAAUGUUACAUUACCAAUUUAUUUUUUUGACAAUUUCUAUUCCUGUUAUUUUAGGACUGUAACCAGGUCUAUUUCAUCUCUCUGUUAGCCUAUCAGCUUUGUUUUUGAGGAUAUAUAUUACGUUCUAUUUCAUCCCCCGUAUGAUUUUAUGCAUCCGAGUUAUAGUCACUGUAAACUUUCACCAGGUUCAUUGGGGGUCCUUUUGGUAGAAACCUGUAACAUAAUGUUACAUUACCAAUUUAUUUUUUUGACAAUUUCUAUUCCUGUUAUUUUAGGACUGUAACCAGGUCUAUUUCAUCUCUCUGUUAGCCUAUCAGCUUUGUUUUUGAGGAUAUAUAUAUUACGUUCUAUUUCAUCCCCCCGUAUGAUUUUAUGCAUCCGAGUUAUAGUCACUGUAAACUUUCACCAGGUUCAUUGGGGGUCCUUUUGGUAGAAACCUGUAACAUAAUGUUACAUUACCAAUUUAUUUUUUUUGACAAUUUCUAUUCCUGUUAUUUUAGGACUGUAACCAGGUCUAUUUCAUCUCUCUGUUAGCCUAUCAGCUUUGUUUUUGAGGAUAUAUAUUACGUUCUAUUUCAUCCCCCGUAUGAUUUUAUGCAUCCGAGUUAUAGUCACUGUAAACUUUCACCAGGUUCAUUGGGGGUCCUUUUGGUAGAAACCUGUAACAUAAUGUUACAUUACCAAUUUAUUUUUUUGACAAUUUCUAUUCCUGUUAUUUUAGGACUGUAACCAGGUCUAUUUCAUCUCUCUGUUAGCCUAUCAGCUUUGUUUUUGAGGAUAUAUAUUACGUUCUAUUUCAUCCCCCGUAUGAUUUUAUGCAUCCGAGUUAUAGUCACUGUAAACUUUCACCAGGUUCAUUGGGGGUCCUUUUGGUAGAAACCUGUAACAUAAUGUUACAUUACCAAUUUAUUUUUUUGACAAUUUCUAUUCCUGUUAUUUUAGGACUGUAACCAGGUCUAUUUCAUCUCUCUGUUAGCCUAUCAGCUUUGUUUUUUGAGGAUAUAUAUUACGUUCUAUUUCAUCCCCCGUAUGAUUUUAUGCAUCCGAGUUAUAGUCACUGUAAACUUUCACCAGGUUCAUUGGGGGUCCUUUUGGUAGAAACCUGUAACAUAAUGUUACAUUACCAAUUUAUUUUUUUGACAAUUUCUAUUCCUGUUAUUUUAGGACUGUAACCAGGUCUAUUUCAUCUCUCUGUUAGCCUAUCAGCUUUGUUUUUGAGGAUAUAUAUUACGUUCUAUUUCAUCCCCCGUAUGAUUUUAUGCAUCCGAGUUAUAGUCACUGUAAACUUUCACCAGGUUCAUUGGGGGUCCUUUUGGUAGAAACCUGUAACAUAAUGUUACAUUACCAAUUUAUUUUUUUGACAAUUUCUAUUCCUGUUAUUUUAGGACUGUAACCAGGUCUAUUUCAUCUCUCUGUUAGCCUAUCAGCUUUGUUUUUGAGGAUAUAUAUUACGUUCUAUUUCAUCCCCCCGUAUGAUUUUAUGCAUCCGAGUUAUAGUCACUGUAAACUUUCACCACGUUCAUUGUGGGUCUUUUUGGUAAAGGGGAAAAGUUGAGAAAGUUUAGGUCGAAUGUCUGCUUUAUUUACGCCUCAUGGUUCGUCUCCCCUGGGAUUCAUAUGACGGGGUGGAGCGGCAAACCUUCCUUAAGGUUUAUACAUUAUUUCUCAGGAAAUUCUUUUGCAAACAUAAAUUCAUCUGAAAUCCAUAAUACCGAACUAAUGAUAGUCUUUGAAAAAUCUUCACCCUCACAUUUUCCUUUUCUCCAAGUUCCCUGGCCAGAGUGGGCAGUGAUGGUUCAAAAAUCAGAGAGAAGAAUCUUGAUAUGUUCUUUUCGAUUUCUCGUCUUUGUGCUCUAUUUUGAAUAGAAAAUCUUUUAACUUUAUACACUCCACAUGCCUCGCAUUGAUUUUAUUUGGCAGAGAUGAAUUCUGGGACUUGUACCAGAACUACUUCCAUGAUCGACUACAACAAGGUUUCCUUGCGUCUCGGUCUUUAUGGUCCAUGAAUAUCUGGGAAAGAGCUUAAGGGGAAAAAGAUGGGCCCGACGGAAUAACAAAUUUUGGUCCAUUUUUAGUGCAAACUAGCUAUCCUGCCCACGCGUUGCUGCGGUGUUACAUUGUUGUAUACCGUUUUUUCGCAUAAUGGGCAGAGCAUGCAUCUAUUUUGUUCACAUAACGAAAAAUCUUAGGGAAGAAUUAAGCACAUAAAUACAUAUUAGGUUUUUAAAUUGGCUUUAUUCUUUACAUUUCUAUUUUAAUGUAGCAGGAAAGAAAUUGUAAUAGAUUGCCUAGAAAAGUAAACAUUGUUUUGCAGGCAUCAAUACGACUGGAAAUGUAACAGCUGAAUAAAUAGUGAUAUAAUGUUCCUUCUUUAAAUCUGCAUAUACUAACUAAAAUAAACAAAUAUGCAAGAAUAUACUGCAUCUGUGAUCGAUAACGUAAAAUUCAUGAUUAGCAUUCCAAGUCUUGUAAAUUAGCUUUCAAAGCCUUCUAAACACCAAACCACCUGUCUAGAUGCAAUUACCUAUUCUCUCCCAUAAUUUUUACAAAUCAAACAGGUCCAUCAAAUAAAUUUACUCGCCUCUUGGACAGAUUUUUUUGGGUUGAAUCUAAAAACAACAUAGCUGCAAAAAGGGCUGAAAACUUCUGCAGUUUGGCAUUCACUUCAAAGGAAAACCGAUCAAAAGACAAUCAUGGACUUGAUAAUCACAUAUGGGGUCAUAAGGUAAAAAAAUUCACUCAAGUUUCAGUGAGUAGUGAGUAAAACUAAGCAAUGAUGCAGGAAAUCAAUUAGAAGGUUGAGAUACACAAAAAA
Malus domestica (apple) is the source of this 3805-nucleotide non-coding RNA. Lineage: Eukaryota; Viridiplantae; Streptophyta; Magnoliopsida; Rosales; Rosaceae. The record is from RefSeq and is a predicted model, not a curated record.